UCUUCAACAAUCUUCACAACCCUAAAACCAAACCCUAGAUCAACUCAACCUUUCUGGACGUCACAGCGAUUUCUCAUCUCUCUAAUCAGAUCUUCUUCCGCUAUUGAAGAUUCAUGUUAGCAAGAAGUAUUUUGAUGAUAAGCACCGAAAAAAUUCUACCUGCACGUCUAUUAUAUAUGUAGUACUACAGAUUCGAUUCUGGCAUAAAUGUCCGAUUGAUGUUAACUUUUUUUGUAUUCUUAUUAAUUUUAUGGAAAUUGGUUGAUUAGAUCCGUGAUGACUGAACGUUAAUUUUAGUGUAAAAUGUUUGAAAAUGUUUUAGUUUUUGGAUUGCACGCAAGGUGUUUGAUGAAAUGCUUGAAUGGGA
This is a long non-coding RNA of Helianthus annuus (common sunflower), 367 nucleotides long. RefSeq lists it as uncharacterized. The transcript has 2 exons. The record is from RefSeq and is a predicted model, not a curated record. NCBI's taxonomy places the organism in Eukaryota, Viridiplantae, Streptophyta, Magnoliopsida, Asterales, Asteraceae.